Cottoperca gobio is the source of this 2745-nucleotide RNA transcript. It is a transcript of the gene named twist-related protein-like, with no coding region annotated. Lineage: Eukaryota; Metazoa; Chordata; Actinopteri; Perciformes; Bovichtidae. The record is from RefSeq and is a predicted model, not a curated record. The transcript has 2 exons.
AGUCGGAUUUGCUGAUGCAGUGUACACUCACAGAGACUGGGAAGAUAUCACUGGCACGUUUUCCACAUGUGUGGAUGAAGAAGCAAUGUGGAAAUCCAAAGCUGAGUGCUGAUUAUUACCCAUUCUUUUGGCAUGGUCAGAUGUGACAAAGUGUAAAGCUGAUAACUUUUGGAGAAGAAGAAAAACAACACAGCAGAAGGCCGGACAAACGCAACGUAACUGAGGGAGUUCCCUGAAGACAAACAGAACGGAGGAAAACUGCGAGAGAAGCGGAGGAGAUAUAUUGAAGGCAAGAGAGAAGCACUGGAGAUAUUCAGAGGAGUGAAGGAUAGAGAGUCACGUAAAAGCAAGAGAAGACAGAAGAAAAAAAACGUGGCCAAGCAUGAGAGAGGAGGAGCAGUCUAAUGAUGACCACCCUGAGGGAGGGGUGGUUUCCAGCGAGGAAAACACAGGAAGACCACCUUCUAACGCCUGCCCUGUUGUCGUAGCAACACCUGGGGUCACCGGGCGUAAACGGCAGACGGGUUCACAUACGGAGGAUCAACUUACAACAGUUACUCCCACUACAUCAGCACAUGAUGGCAAGGUCAAACCAGGGGAGGACAUCCAGAUCUACACCCUGACCAGACCCAAAAGAGUCAAGAGGAGUCCUCAACAUCGGCCCCCUUCCUCAGGCCCGUCCCUUUCUCCUGGCCAGAGUCCUGGAGAUCUUGAGGACCCACAUGGUCAGAGGGUGAUUGCCAACAUCCGAGAGCGCCAGCGGACACAAUCUCUGAACGACGCCUUUUCCUCGUUGCGUAAAAUAAUCCCAACGCUCCCCUCCGACAAACUGAGCAAGAUCCAGACCCUUAAAUUGGCGUCGCGCUACAUUGACUUUCUAUACCAGGUUCUGGAGAAUGACGAGAUGGACACCAAGCUGGCUGGAUGUAACUACCUGGCCCACGAGAGACUGAGCUACGCGUUCUCUGUCUGGAGGAUGGAGGGGGCCUGGUCGACCAUGUCUGCUGGUCACUAGCCCUGCCUGACGGCAAGGUUUGUCUUUUGACUGUUGCCAUAUAACGUAUGAUGAAUUCCACAUGACAGGGAAAUAUUCUUACUUGACACAGACGGCUGAGGAGACGUCUGAACUGUGUCUGCUCAUCAGUGGACUAUAUAGCACCUCAAUUUAGAUCAUCUGUUUGCUUCAAUGAUGUGUGAGCAGAUUUUUAAGCCACUAUUGUUGUCAAGCUACAUACCAGAUGGAUUUUUGUAAUUCUAUUGUUUUGCUUGCCAAAAGCAGCUAUUACUGCUCAAGUGUGCCAAUGCUAGCAUUCAAGAAAAGUAUCCCAACAGGGACAUUGUGCUCAGUGUAGGAUUCCAAGCUUUUUAAAGAUUUUUUCUCAACGUUUGACUGUUUACAUAGAUCACAAUGGAGGACAGGACAGGUGAAAGAUCAAAAAAACAAACAUUCGGACAUCAUUCAACAUUCAUUCAAUUCAGCAACCUGAUGUUUAAGGACGCAUCGUUCUAAAUGUUGCCUCCACAUGACAGCACUGCUCAUUCUGCUACAGCCCUCUGACCCCUCGGCUUUCAUCUUCACCCUUGAUUUUAUCAUCAUUACUAUCGUCAUCUUCAUAGGUAUGCAUACUUUGAGCCAAAUUUGAACUUUAUUUCUGCCUUGGGCUAGCAAGUGUGUAAAGUUGUGUAUAAAGAGCAUCUAGCAUCUAGAGAAUGCAGAAGAGGGAUUAGAAGAAAGUAAGAACUGGAAAGACAACAUUGGAUAUUCCAAAAAAUGUUGGACCUUUGACUUUUCCGUGCCCUUUCAACUGGUACUUUUCAAAGAUUCUGACAUAUCAUGAAUCCCUGACCACCUCUGAACCCAAGCGACAGUGGAAAAAGUAGACAUGGGCGGGGCAGCCGUCGUCCUAACUUAAGUUUCUCGUCUUUAUACCCAAACCAAGCCCCUUUGUUUCUUCUAGUGCCAAAAAAAACUCUCCUCUUGAAUUCUUUCCUCUCAUUUUGGCACAAAUGUGCUUGCGCUGCACGAAACAGUGAUGCAGCUACAGCGAGCUGACGAGGAGGCGUAAUGAAAACAAACGGUCUCGAAAAAGCCAUGAAUCUUGUGUGUCACCAUCAAAGGGGAGGCUGAUGUGGCUCCCUGCUGGGCUCCCAUAAACCACUGGAAGUGAUGGAGGAGCUGCUGAAUAAAGUGACUGUGAUCUUCGCUGUACGCCUCUGUUCCCCGCUAGCAUCACUGCCACUCUAAUCAUAUGGACUUUGAUGCAAAUGGAACUUUUUAGUUACCUCAUUUUUUGGAGAAAAGGACUGUCCCAGAAUAUUAAAAGGCACCUUCAUCAGGAUGCAGACAGACAUGGGGAAAGAGGACAUUUCUGGAUCAACUAAACCAACAAAGAGCUGGCAUUCAUUGAGAAUACCGUAAAUACAGAAAUGGACAAUAGCUGGACGAGUAUUUCUGUUUAUUUGUUGUGUUUCAAACUUUUUUUCUCUGGAUAUUAUCAAAAGGAAACUUAUAUAAUAUAUGUCACUGCAGUUGAAGCAAUACUUUAAUCUAAGAAAGUGAUUAGUUUGUUCAUCUCUUGUACCCCAGUUUACAGACAGAGUUUUCAGGAGCAUUUACUUGAAGUAUAUUCAGUGCGGUGACACUGAUACAGUAUUAUAAUAUCACAAGCAGAAAGACAUCUCUGGAGAAUUAGAUGUCGUGAUACAUGCAGCACAUGAAUCAUUAUUUGUCUGAAAAAUAAAACU